GCAGCCCCAGGCAAUUUUCCUUAUGACUGGGAAUGCGAAGGCAGGAUGGGAAGCCCUGUUGUCAUGCUGGCUCUGGUCCCAUCAGCUUAUCUCCAAAGUUAAAAACCCACAACAAGUGCCAUUUGCCAGUUGUGCAGGGCUGUGCGAGGGGCAUCAAUGCAGCCCUUCAUCCUCUUCCUGGCUCUGGCCCCGGCUGCAUGGCCGUUAGCAGGGACAAUGCCAGAGGGACAGAUGCAGAGCCCAGACCACGAGGAUGAAAGAAGAAAAGUCUGUUCACCGCAGCCAGCAGAGGGGGAGGAAAAACGAUCCAGGCUGCACAAUUAGACAGGCUUCCAAUUAGACAGAGCACAUGUACACGUGCUCACACGCACGUGCCCUCACGUGCUCACACACACAGAGACUGUGCAUGAGUUUAGGGCUGAAGCCUCUGCAUCCUUGUGCAGUGAUUUGUGAGAUACUAGAUAGCUUCCAGGGAUUGGAUUUUAUGGGUCAUGAGAUGUAACCAUUGUGCUGGAAGUAAAGCUUUAAAAAUGAGAGAGAAAGAGAAACAGUUCUUUCUCUUGCUACUUGACUGGUGCUGAGGAGGAGUUUGUCAAUAAAAGGGUAAUUGUUAAAAAUCUAAUGACAGUUUUUAAAUGUAAGAAUCAUCCCUAAGAAUAUGACCUCUUCCAUUACACCAGUCAGCACAGGGUUAUUUCCUUCGUGUUGGCUGUCUCCGAAUUUGAAGUGAAGCUACUGCUGUUGAAAUCUCCCACCACCUGCCGGCGGACAGAGUCUGCUUGGACCAUUCCAGGAGCUGGAGUCCUGUCGAGACGCCCUCUCACUUCCCUUGACAUGUUCUUCCACCUCACCCUCCAGCCAGCACCCUCGAGGUUCAGUGAUGUAAACAGCCUGGUAUCUAUGCCUGGUAGUUUCAGCCUUAGGAGCCCACACAUUUGCUCUUCAUGCAGAAGAUGGUCUGGAUUGAGUUUCCAUCACUGGAAGACCUCGGGCUCUCCAAGGUCCCGUCAUCGACUGUGAGGCCUGGAAAGGGGCAAGCCCUGGUGGUUUCUCUUGCACAGAUGCU
This is a long non-coding RNA of Diceros bicornis minor, 1066 nucleotides long. RefSeq lists it as uncharacterized. The record is from RefSeq and is a predicted model, not a curated record. NCBI's taxonomy places the organism in Eukaryota, Metazoa, Chordata, Mammalia, Perissodactyla, Rhinocerotidae. The transcript is spliced from 3 exons.